This 568-nucleotide ribosomal RNA is filed under the name uncultured bacterium. RNAcentral's name for it is "partial 16S ribosomal RNA". It matches the Rfam family "Bacterial small subunit ribosomal RNA", at positions 355 to 938 of the family's 1533-position model. The record is from RNAcentral.
UGGGGAAUAUUGCACAAUGGGCGCAAGCCUGAUGCAGCAACGCCGCGUGAGGGAUGACGGCCUUCGGGUUGUAAACCUCUUUUAGCAGGGAAGAAGCGAAAGUGACGGUACCUGCAGAAAAAGCACCGGCUAACUACGUGCCAGCAGCCGCGGUAAUACGUAGGGUGCAAGCGUUGUCCGGAAUUAUUGGGCGUAAAGAGCUCGUAGGCGGUCUGUCGCGUCUGCUGUGAAAUCCCGAGGCUCAACCUCGGGCCUGCAGUGGGUACGGGCAGACUAGAGUUCGGUAGGGGAGAAUGGAACUCCUGGUGUAGCGGUGGAAUGCGCAGAUAUCAGGAAGAACACCGAUGGCGAAGGCAGUUCUCUGGGCCGUAACUGACGCUGAGGAGCGAAAGCGUGGGGAGCGAACAGGAUUAGAUACCCUGGUAGUCCACGCCGUAAACGUUGGGCGCUAGAUGUGGGGACCAUUCCACGGUUUCCGUGUCGCAGCUAACGCAUUAAGCGCCCCGCCUGGGGAGUACGGCCGCAAGGCUAAAACUCAAAUGAAUUGACGGGGUCAUAGCAGUUUCCU